RNAcentral lists this unclassified non-coding RNA (332 nucleotides) under soil metagenome. RNAcentral's name for it is "partial contains 5.8S ribosomal RNA, internal transcribed spacer 2, and large subunit ribosomal RNA". The stretch from base 1 to 120 matches the Rfam family "5.8S ribosomal RNA", at positions 35 to 154 of the family's 154-position model. The record is from RNAcentral.
GAUGAAGAACGCAGCAAAAUGCGAUAAGUAAUGUGAAUUGCAGAAUUCAGUGAAUCAUCGAAUCUUUGAACGCACAUUGCGCCCGCCAGUAUUCUGGCGGGCAUGCCUGUUCGAGCGUCAUUUCAACCCUCAAGCACAGCUUGGUGUUGGGACUCGCGUUAAUUCGCGUUCCCCAAAUUGAUUGGCGGUCACGUCGAGCUUCCAUAGCGUAGUAGUAAAACCCUCGUUACUGGUAAUCGUCGCGGCCACGCCGUUAAACCCCAACUUCUGAGUGUUGACCUCGGAUCAGGUAGGAAUACCCGCUGAACUUAAGCAUAUCAAUAAGCGGAGGA